Mytilus trossulus (common blue mussel) is the source of this 709-nucleotide long non-coding RNA. RefSeq lists it as uncharacterized. The record is from RefSeq and is a predicted model, not a curated record. The transcript has 3 exons. NCBI's taxonomy places the organism in Eukaryota, Metazoa, Mollusca, Bivalvia, Mytilida, Mytilidae.
UCUACUUCUUGUCUCUUUAAACUUUAAAUGAUCGGGUCUUUCAGUACUAUUCGCUACGUUAUUAUGGUAUCUAAUGAUAACGUGUAGGACAAUUGAAGAAAAGUAUUUUGCUGAACACAAACACCUAGAAUAAUAGACAACACCUACCAGAGAGAAGAAAGGCAACUAUGUGUCACCAUAGGAUAUUCAACGCAGAGCAAUUUAUACUAACAAAGACAAAAUCAACCAGAUGAUGACAAUAUUCAAAGUUUACUACAGGCUGGCUGACCGAUCUGAACAAAGACAUAACACGACGGGUAUCGUAUACGAUGCAGGAAAUGCCGGGGCUCCUCAUUUGUAGUGGAGGUCGUGUUGUUUCUUAUUUAUUAUUUAUAACUGUUGAUGUAAAUGUCCUUUGGUUUUUGUGAGUCUUUGUUUACUGCUUGGUUUUGAUUGUUAUAAUUGUCUCCUCUGAAUAAUAUUGUUAUUUGUGUUAGUUGUAUAUCUGCAUAAUUGAAACAAACACAAAUGACAUGUAAUGCACAUUAUUAAUACUGUCAUUGAUGAUGACUUUGUUCGUUUGUUAUUUGAUUAUUUAUCAAAAAAACAGGAAAUGUUGCUUUUAACAAUGUUUUAUACAUGUCAAUCAUAUUUUAGUGCUACAAUCAAUUGGCAGACAAAUUCAUUUUGUAUAUAAACAAAACGUGAAAAAUUAAAACAAAUGAGCUAC